CACGCAGGCGGUCUUGCCAGUCAGGGGUGAAAGCCCGAGGCUCAACCUCGGAACUGCCUCUGAUACUGCAGGACUUGAGACUAGGAGAGGGUGGUGGAAUUCCCAGUGUAGAGGUGAAAUUCGUAGAUAUUGGGAGGAACACCAGAGGCGAAGGCGGCCACCUGGACUAGAUCUGACGCUCAGGUGCGAAAGCGUGGGGAGCAAACA
Molecule: ribosomal RNA, 207 nt
Filed under: uncultured bacterium
Lineage: Bacteria
Description: partial 16S ribosomal RNA
Rfam family: Bacterial small subunit ribosomal RNA
Source: RNAcentral